RNAcentral lists this non-coding RNA (22 nucleotides) under Arabidopsis thaliana (thale cress). Lineage: Eukaryota; Viridiplantae; Streptophyta; Magnoliopsida; Brassicales; Brassicaceae. The record is from RNAcentral.
CUGAUGUGGACGGCUGAGAUGG